RNAcentral lists this ribosomal RNA (164 nucleotides) under Iris minutoaurea. Its description in RNAcentral is "5.8S ribosomal RNA". It matches the Rfam family "5.8S ribosomal RNA". From Rfam's summary of the family: 5.8S ribosomal RNA (5.8S rRNA) is a component of the large subunit of the eukaryotic ribosome. It is transcribed by RNA polymerase I as part of the 45S precursor that also contains 18S and 28S rRNA. Lineage: Eukaryota; Viridiplantae; Streptophyta; Magnoliopsida; Asparagales; Iridaceae. The record is from RNAcentral.
UAUACGACUCUCGGCAAUGGAUAUCUAGGCUCUCACAUCGAUGAAGAACACAGUGAAAUAAGAUACUUUGUAUGAAUUAUAGAAUCCCGUGAACCAUCGAGUCUUUGAAUGCAAGUUGCGCCCGAGGCCUUCUGGCCGAGGGCACGCCUGCCUGGGCGUCACGC